GCUAGCAUACGACUUUCAAUUUUCCGUGGAAAAAUUGUUUUACUGAUUCUUUACAUCUCAUUGCUUGUCUUGUAGAUCUUCCUGCAAACGGUAUUCGGGAUUCCUUCCUGCCUGCUAUACAGAAUCUCUUGAAAGACCCAGAUGCACUGGAUCCAGCACACAAAGAAGCCCUUGAAAUUAUUAUGAAGGAAAGAUCAGGAGGAACUUUUGAGACUAUUAGUAAGGUGAUGGGUGCUCAUAUUGGCCUUCCAUCAUCAGUCACCAGCUUCUUUGGUGAGGGUGGGUUACUCGGAAAGAAAGAAACCGCAGAGCUAUCAUCAGAAGCUACCGUGUCUCCCAAAGCCGCUUCACCAUCGCCGGUAGAAGAUACUAGAUUUAAGCGCAUAAUGAUGGGAAAUUUCAGCGAGAUGCUUCGUGGCAAGGCAAAGGCUCCAGAAGAAGGUCACAAUCAAUAAGAUGUAUUUCUGCAUGCUAAUUUACAAACAACAACGAAGAUUUGUCCCAAUAGGUAAGAUUGACCACUGUUGUUUCCUAAAUAUUAAAACAAAAUAUUUUUCAGUCUUUUCUUUAGAUAGAAGAGGAAAAUAUAGAUAAAUAUUUUACUGCAGGAUUGUCGUAUUUUUGCUGUGUAAUGAUCUAUUAUGAAUUUAUUAGGCAUGUGUCAGGAACCAGAGAGAUUUGAAUGAGCACGCUAGAUUUGUGAAUUAUUCAAUGAAUUAUCGUAUGACUGAUGUUUAAUUUUGUACUGAUAUUUUAAGGAAUGGGAGAGAAAGAACAUUCUAAGAACUCAACUGGUUCUCUCGGCGUAUUGUUUGAUGUUAAUACACAAUGUUAGAAACAAUUUCACUUUAGUUUCUUUUUGUUGAACGAAUUGUGGUUAGAAGAACUUGUGACUCAUUGCGAAGCUGAUCCUAAUGAUAAUUGCGUUUAAGUUUGAACAACUCAAUUUGGUAAUGUAAUUUGGUGUCGGUUUAGCCUCCAAAACAGCCAAGAAAGAUGGCAAGAAGAAAAUGUAACUAAAACGUUAAUUAAACAUAAACAUCAAGAUAACUUUUUUUUAGAUUGGACAGUAUUUGCAAGGAUUUACAGUAUAUUCAAGUCAAAUAUUUUGCACUAGUUUUUAAUCGUGUAAGGAUAAAAAGACUGGUAUUUUUUAUAUUAUAUACAAUUUUAAUGUAUGAUAAUUAUUAAUUCAAAAAGUUAAAACAUAUUUUCUUAUUUUUAUCUUUACAGAUAAAACUUUUGUUUAUGAUAUACUCAACAUUUAUUUUAUAAUUAUUAAAUGUUAUAAUAUAAAAAAGUUAAGGUAAAAAUAAACAAAUUAUAAGUUCUAAGGAAAAAAUAAUUUAGUUUAUAAAAAUACAACAUUGAAAACAAAUUAUAUGAAAGAAUUAAAAAAUAUAUAUAAUCACCUUAUUUAUAUUAAAUAAAAGAUAUAUUACUUAAUGAAAUUAUGUGUUUAAAAUUAUAAUUAUUUUAAUUUGAAAUAUUUUUCACUUUAAUUAUAUUAGUUAUUAUUUUUCCUUAUUUUUAGCUUUAAUCUUACACAGUUAGCAAUAUUUUUUUUUUUAAAAAAAGUUUGAAAAUAAUAGAAGUAAAACUAGAAGAAAACUUUUGUCAUUGUUAUAUUUUUAAUUAUUGAAACAUAUUCAAAUCUGGAAGUUAUUUAAAAUUGAUUCAAUAAAAAUUCAUAUAGUUUUUAGAGUAAAGUGUGAGGUAUACCAAACAACAUAUCUUUUUGGUUAUUAAAUUAAUUUCAUCCUCACUUUAUAGUGAUGCAUCCUUCAUGCAAUAUCUUUCUCUUCUACAUCAUUUUCACCUUCACCGACAACACACCAUACGGAAUCUUUGAAAUAAUUUAAUUGUGUCUUGAAUUCGAAACUCUUUAUUUUCCGUCUUUUCCAAAAUUGUUCUUCACCGUCAAACUUUCCUUUGUGCAGGGUAAGAUUCUUUAUCCAUUUUAUACAUUCUUACAUAUGUUUUCAAUUUUACUUUCCUGAGAACACAAACAACAAAAGAUAAGGGAAAUUACUUCUAUCACAUUAUUAUUUUAUUUUUUAUUCACUUCUAAAAUUUUAUAAUUUAUUCAGAAGUCAUAUUUUAUAUAUUUCUUUUGUCUUAUAAUUACGUGCAUUUAUAAUUUACUCGCUUAUUUAUCUAUACCAACUUGAAAAUGAAUUAUCAAAUACAUAACCAAUUUUUAUAACUUUUUAGAAAAAUCCUAAGGGCCCAUUCCCCUGGCAUGGCACACGUAUUCAUGCAUACAUUAAUAUGGAUUUCUAAAAUUGAAUAGCUUAGUCGGAAGCACAGUAUCUGUAACUAAUCCUCACAGCAAUGUCUAACUGCUAACCACUUCCUUGUCUUCUUCAUAAAUACACUUAUAUUUAUUAAACUAAUAUAUAUAUAUAUAUAUAUAUAUAUAUAUAUAUAUAUUUAUCUAUUUUUAUCUUAAAAUGGGAUUUCAAUUAUGUGAGUCUUUUGUGUGUGGAGAAUGUUGAUACAUGUGGGUGGAAGAAAGAAAAAAAAGAAGAAAGAGUUCAAAUCUUUAAGCUACAAUAUUGCACUCGUUUAUUCCAAUUUUUGUAUUUUCAAUCCACGAAAGACCUUCUAAUUUCAUGCAUGUUUUUAAAUAUUAUUAUCAAGCAAAAUUCAACAUAAUUUUUCUUUUAUGACAUGUAUAUAUCAAUAGCCAAAUAAGCAUGUUUAAUUAUUCAAUCAAUUUUAACAUUGUUCACAAUUAGGACCUAAUUGGAGUAUUUUAACCUAAUUUGAAACUCAAUUGAAAUAAAAACCUAAGUAAAGAUCAAUUUAAAACAUUCUAACAAUAAUUGAAAUUAAACGAUUAAUUUAAUGAAUUGAUUCUUCAUAAAAAAAAUUCAUAGUGUAUUAUCUUCAGAUAAGGAAUAAAAUAACUAAUAUCAUUUAAAUUUUCUGAUUAAUUUUUUGUUUCUCCUGGCCAUUAAUUUAAUAAACACAUUUUCAUUUGACUAGUGUCUUAAAAGUUGUUGCCUUAAAAAAUAAAAGAGAAGUUUCUAUGGUAACAUGUAAAACGAAAUACUCUUCUAUAGUUUCUAAAUAUAGUAUUAUAUAAUAAUAUAAAAGGGUGAUAAAAAUGGUAUAGAAUACAUAAAUUCUUUUGUGACAGAUGAAAAAUAAGAUAUGCUACGUUAUCAUCCAACUGUGAUGAUUUAACGGUUAGGUUUUCAAAUUAUGAAUAUCCUAUCAAGUAUAACUUUUAAUCUAAUCAUAUACGCUCCCUCUUAUUAGUAUAUCAAAGUUUGUUUCCCUGUAAAAGUUGACAUACUUCAAGAUUUAAACCACUAAAACAUUUUCUUAAAAACCAAAAUCAAAACCAAAACAUAUCAAAUUCUAUUUUAAGAAUACUAAUUUAAUAAAAUUAAGGUUUAAUAUGUCCUUAUAUUUGUUAAUUUAAUUUAAUGUGAGAUUCAUUUAUUUUAUAUUUGUUAAUUUAAUUUAAUGUGAGAUUCAUUUAUUUUAAAUUUUCAAUGUGACAACUUUUAAAUUGUUAACGGUUAAAUGUCAAUAAAUUACAUGAUGAUUAGUUGAUGUGACCAUUUAAACGAUUGAUUAAAUUUUAUAAAUAUAAAUCAUUAUGUGUUUAAAUAAUUAAAUGAGUCAAAAAUUGUCAUGUAAUUCACUUAUUACUCACGUCAACACUUAAUCAUUAACAAUUUAGAUGUUAUCAUAAAAUAUGAAAUUAAAGACUACAUUAAAUAUUUUAAACCUAAAAUUAAAAAAAAAAGAACAGUAAGAAAUUGUAAAUUUAACUCAUCCUUAACAAAAUAUUAACAUUACCGUAAAAAAAUCUAUAUACCAAACAACAUCUGAAAUAAAUAACCAUAAAAACAGUUACUUAGAAAUCCCACCUCGGAAUUACAUUAAGUAUAGAUCUGAGUGUGUGAUUUUGAUAGUACUCAUGAAACAUGUAGGGUCCAUUGCAUUGAAAUUAAGGUUAAUCUUACAGUACUCUUACACACAGAAGGCACUAGCGAAUAACACCAAAUGAAAAGAAUUUUCUUUAACAACUUUUUUUUUUAACGAAUACAUGAUAGUUUAUGAUUGAUUUGUUUCAUGAGAUUCACGAUACAUUAUGAUUGAUUUGUUUAAUGAGAUCACGAUAGUAUUCUGUUGUUAAAAAAUUGUUAAAAUGUAUCUUUAAAAUACCUACAAAUCUGCGGUGGUGUUAAUGCAAAAUAAUUGUGAGAAGUAUCAUCCCAACGCUCCUUCCAUUAAUGUUGUGGGUCAUUCCCACUCACAUCCCACCAAUAUACAAUCCAUCAUUAUUAAUUGAAACCAAACCACUUUCUCUUCUUCACUUCUUAUAUAUAUAUAUAACUCUUCCACUGCCACAUUUUUCAGUGUCAGUGUUAGUGUGUGAGUCACUCAGUUCACCAUUAACGAGUUAACUUCUCUUCUUCUGUUGUGUUCUCGUUUUAGCAAGAUGACGAUGAAAAAGUCCGUUGUGUGUGCAGUGGUGCUUGUGGCACUCCUUCUGAUCGAUGUGGGACCUCUGGCUCAGGCUGUUACUUGCUCCGCAGUCCAGUUAGCACCGUGUGCUCCGGCAAUCACUUCCGCCAGUCGACCCUCACCUGUUUGCUGUACGAAGCUGAAGGAGCAAAAACCAUGCUUAUGUGGUUACCUCAAAGACCCCAACCUUAAGCAGUAUGUCAAUUCUCCUAAUGCCAAAAAGGUCCUUAGUGCUUGUGGGGUUACCUACCCAAGUUGCUAAAUACGCACACAAAUUUAAUAACACGCUUUAAUUUAUACUCAUGCUUUGUGUGUAUAAAUUAAGCUUGCUCUACGUUUCUGUCGUAUUAUACGUUGCUGUCUUUGGAUGUGUUGUAAGAGUUCUACAGCUGAAUAUGGUGUAUACACUAUUAGUAUACAUGUUGUAUUCACCAGGGAAUCAUCUAUAUCUGUCUUCACACCUAUAAAUAAAGAACUACUGAUGUUCAGAGUGGCAUAUAUCUUCUUUUAUAUCCCCUCAUUUUCAUUCUUAAAAUAUUUAAC
RNAcentral lists this long non-coding RNA (5031 nucleotides) under Vigna radiata. RNAcentral describes it as "long non-coding RNA (VRAD_LNC003230)". Lineage: Eukaryota; Viridiplantae; Streptophyta; Magnoliopsida; Fabales; Fabaceae. The record is from RNAcentral.